UGUAUUUUAAUACUUUGUUGGAAGCCACCCAGAGUGGCUGGGGAAGCCCAGCCAGAUGGGCAGGGUAUAAAUAAUAAAUAAAUAAAUAAUAAUAAUAAUAAUAAUAAUAAUAAUAAUAAUUUAUUAUUUGUACCCUGCCCAUCUGGCUGGGUUUCCCCAGCCACUCUGGAUGGCUUCCAACAAAGAUUAAAAAUAC
Non-coding RNA from Podarcis lilfordi (Lilford's wall lizard), 196 nucleotides. Lineage: Eukaryota; Metazoa; Chordata; Lepidosauria; Squamata; Lacertidae. The record is from the annotation of a GenBank genome assembly.